UAGUGGCAGACGGGUGAGUAAUGUAUAGGAAUCUACCUAGUAGUACGGAAUAAUUGUUGGAAACGGCAACUAAUACCGUAUACGCCCUACGGGGGAAAAAUUUAUUGCUAUUAGAUGAGCCUAUAUUAGAUUAGCUAGUUGGUGGAGUAAUAGCCUACCAAGGCAAUGAUCUAUAGCUGAUCUGAGAGGAUGAUCAGCCACACUGGAACUGAGAUACGGUCCAGACUCCUACGGGAGGCAGCAGUGGGGAAUAUUGGACAAUGGGCGAAAGCCUGAUCCAGCCAUGCCGCAUGAGUGAAGAAGGCCUUUGGGUUGUAAAGCUCUUUUAGUGAGGAAGAUAAUGACGGUACUCACAGAAGAAGUCCUGGCUAACUCCGUGCCAGCAGCCGCGGUAAUACGGAGAGGGCUAGCGUUAUUCGGAAUUAUUGGGCGUAAAGGGCGCGUAGGCGGAUUAAUAAGUUAAAAGUGAAAUCCCAAGGCUCAACCUUGGAAU
This 493-nucleotide ribosomal RNA is filed under the name Wolbachia endosymbiont of Pulex simulans. RNAcentral's name for it is "bacterial SSU rRNA". It matches the Rfam family "Bacterial small subunit ribosomal RNA", at positions 93 to 621 of the family's 1533-position model. Lineage: Bacteria; Pseudomonadati; Pseudomonadota; Alphaproteobacteria; Rickettsiales; Anaplasmataceae. The record is from RNAcentral.